AGCGAACGCUGGCGGCAGGCCUAACACAUGCAAGUCGAACGAACCUUUCGGGGUUAGUGGCGGACGGGUGAGUAACACGUGGGAACGUGCCUUUAGGUUCGGAAUAACUCAGGGAAACUUGUGCUAAUACCGAAUGUGCCCUUCGGGGGAAAGAUUAAUCGCCUUUAGAGCGGCCCGCGUCUGAUUAGCUAGUUGGUUGAGGUAAUGGCUCACCAAGGCGACGAUCAGUAGCUGGUCUGAGAGGAUGAUCAGACACAUUGGGACUGAGACACGGCCCAAACUCCUACGGGAGGCAGCAGUGGGGAAUCUUGCGAAAUGGGCGAAAGCCUGACGCAGCCAUGCCGCGUGAAUGAUGAAGGUCUUAGGAUUGUAAAAUUCUUUCACCGGGGACGAUAAUGACGGUACCCGGAGAAGAAGCCCCGGCUAACUUCGUG
RNAcentral lists this ribosomal RNA (434 nucleotides) under uncultured bacterium. RNAcentral's name for it is "partial 16S ribosomal RNA". It matches the Rfam family "Bacterial small subunit ribosomal RNA", at positions 29 to 507 of the family's 1533-position model. The record is from RNAcentral.